CCUACGGGACGCAGCAGUGAGGAAUAUUGGUCAAUGGCCGCGAGGCUGAACCAGCCAAGUCGCGUGAGGGAAGACGGUCCUAUGGAUUGUAAACCUCUUUUGUCAGGGAGCAAGAGGCGCCACGCGUGCCGUUCCGAGAGUACCCGAAGAAAAAGCAUCGGCUAACUCCGUGCCAGCAGCCGCGGUAAUACGGAGGAUGCGAGCGUUAUCCGGAUUUAUUGGGUUUAAAGGGUGCGUAGGCGGGCGUUUAAGUCAGCGGGAAAAAUUCGGGGCUCAACCCCGCCCCGCCGUUGAAACUGGGGGCC
This 305-nucleotide ribosomal RNA is filed under the name uncultured bacterium. RNAcentral's name for it is "bacterial SSU rRNA". It matches the Rfam family "Bacterial small subunit ribosomal RNA", at positions 338 to 641 of the family's 1533-position model. The record is from RNAcentral.